This 354-nucleotide ribosomal RNA is filed under the name uncultured bacterium. RNAcentral's name for it is "partial 16S ribosomal RNA". It matches the Rfam family "Bacterial small subunit ribosomal RNA", at positions 338 to 689 of the family's 1533-position model. The record is from RNAcentral.
CCUACGGGGGGCAGCAGUGAGGAAUAUUGGUCAAUGGGCGCGAGCCUGAACCAGCCAAGUAGCGUGAAGGAUGACUGCCCUACGGGUUGUAAACUUCUUUUAUAAAGGAAUAAAGUGAGGCACGUGUGCCUUUUUGUAUGUACUUUAUGAAUAAGGAUCGGCUAACUCCGUUCCAGCAGCCGCGGUAAUACGGAGGAUCCGAGCGUUAUCCGGAUUUAUUGGGUUUAAAGGGAGCGUAGUUGGGUUGUUAAGUCAGUUGUGCAAGUUUGAGGCUCAACCGUAGAAUUGCAAGUAAUACUGGUUGUCUGGAGUACAGUGGGGGUAGGCGGAAUUCGUGGUGUAGCGGUGGAAUGC